RNAcentral lists this ribosomal RNA (449 nucleotides) under uncultured bacterium. RNAcentral describes it as "partial 16S ribosomal RNA". It matches the Rfam family "Bacterial small subunit ribosomal RNA", at positions 29 to 523 of the family's 1533-position model. The record is from RNAcentral.
AGCGAACGCUGGCGGCAGGCCUAACACAUGCAAGUCGAACGAACUCUUCGGAGUUAGUGGCGGACAGGUGAGUAACACGUGGGAACGUGCCUUUAGGUUCGGAAUAACUCAGGGAAACUUGUGCUAAUACCGAAUGUGCCCUUCGGGGGAAAGAUUUAUCGCCUUUAGAGCGGCCCGCGUCUGAUUAGCUAGUUGGUGAGGUAACGGCUCACCAAGGCGACGAUCAGUAGCUGGUCUGAGAGGAUGGCCAGCCACACUGGGACUGAGACACGGCCCAGACUCCUACGGGAGGCAGCAGUGGGGAAUCUUGCGCAAUGGGCGAAAGCCUGACGCAGCCAUGCCGCGUGAAUGAUGAAGGUCUUAGGAUUGUAAAAUUCUUUCACCGGGGACGAUAAUGACGGUACCCGGAGAAGAAGCCCCGGCUAACUUCGUGCCAGCAGCCGCGGUAA